AUUUAUUAAGUUUUUACAUAUGAUGCAUAGAUCAUGAGUUAUAAUAUGCAUGAAGACUAGGGACUAAACUGUAAACUGGCAGUCUCUUGGAUAAAUAGGAAAAAUCGCUAUGCGAAAAAAAUACAAGUCCCGAGCCGAAUCUUAGGCGGCCCAACAAUGCAGGGGAGCUCGGGCUGCUCACAUUGGGCUUUUGAGGCUGGCUGGGUGAGGAGGCACUGGGCCUAGUGCGCGCUUGUGGCCCAAGAACACAGGAGGCCGACUUAGGGCGUCGCGGUCAACGCUCGACGGCGUGCGGGCUGCCGCAGUCACCUCAUCCCUGCUCGCGUGAAGCAGAGGCGCGGCGAGGCAACUUGAGCGGCUGGAGUCCGGAAGCGGCAGUGCAACGGCGGGAUCCGGCGGAAGAGACGAGUGGAUCCGGACGCAUGGCGGCGUUCUCCGGCGGGGUGGCGCGACCGAAGAGCUAAAGGAGGCGCCGCACGUCCUCUGUUCAAAAGAGAGCUUCAGAGCCAUGCCGCGGCGCAGGUCCUUGUAGUGGUGGCGCGAGGCAGGCUUGCCGGUCGCCGGAGUGUCCAGACGAGGAGCAGAGGCGCGACGUCCCGUCCCGCUCGAAGCAGGGGUAGCAGGGGCGGCGACAGGGGAUGGCGAGGCAGGGGACGCGUUUGGCGAUGCACUGACUUGGCGCGGACGAAGGCACGGCUCCGGGCGGUGCAGGUAGCAGACGAGGCGGAUCCGACUGGCCGGCGCCAGAUCCGGGCAACGGCGGCACGGUGGAGCUCAGGGGCGGCAUUGGGGACGAGUUCGAGGCCGGCCAUGGUGUCGGGCACCAUGCUCCUUGUUCCCUGCAGGCAGACGACGACGGGAGAGCGAGGUGAGCACGGGAAGAAGAAGAAAUAAAGAAAAGGGCAUGGGCGCGAGGGAGGAGGAAGGGCCUCGAUCCAAUCGGGAUUUGGGCUCAGGCUGCCUGCGGGUUCGUCCGGUGUUGACAACGAGCUGGAGCGGUGAUUUGGUUCGAUUGGAUGGAGGAGGAGACCGAGGAGAAGGGGAUCAGGGAGGAUCCCGAUGGAGAUUUGAUUUUUGGCGGCGGCGAGGAGGAAUGAUGGGACUGUUCCCCUAGAUUUUAGGGUUGGACUGAUACAUAUAUAGCAUGUGGAUUCUAGGGUAGGGGCUACCUCGUCCCUCCGAUCGAAAUCGGGCGGUCGAGAAAAAAUAUAUUAGGAAGUCCAAUUAACAAAACGGAGACAUUUUGUAGAUGUUUGGGGAUGAUCCGGACUCAUCGGUCACGACUGCUCGGGUCGGGUCCGGGACAAUUUUCGGACGCGCGCGAGAGGUCUAUUGGAACUUGUGGGUUGUGCAGAAGGGCUCGAGUUGAGAGAAGAGAAGAGAAGAGAGAGAGAGGCCCGGCGGCUGUUUCCGGAGACCGAAAACGUCCGACGUUUUGACCAGCUAUAUUGCCGCUAUAGUUAAACGUUGGGGCGUCAAACAAACUCCGAAUGCGAUGAAACUUGACAGGCGGUCUAUCUACACUAUAAUAAGACCACACGCCAAAUUUCAUACCAGUCCGAGAACAUUUCCGGCCACUUACAAAAUAAUAUUUCGGACGUGCCGCGGGCGCGUGCGAGUGUGGUUGGCCUCAGAACGGACAACAGACGGAACUGGGGGAACCCAGACGGGUGCAAGUUUUGAAAACAUGAUGAUGCAAUGCGAAUGAUGACAUGGCAAGAUGCAACACGCAAGCAAAUGACAAGGCAACAACAGGGAAUAACUGGAAGACACCUGGCGCAACGGCCUUGGGGCGUUACAACACUCCACCACUACGAGAGGAUCUCGUCCCGAGAUCUAGAAUGGCACCGGAGGGAAAAUGGAAGAGAAAAGAGAAGAGGUAAAACCAAGUUGCUUCUUUGACAAACGAGUGAAACCAAGGAACCUUGAAAAGGUUAAGCCAUUUCGAGAAAAGAAUACAACGGAGAUGAACGAAGUUGAAAGCACUCUGUUAGGAAAGAGGAACGAGGAAGAAAAAAGUCGAACAGCACUCCGGUUGGAAAGAUAUGCAAGGCUUGAUAAAAUGGAGAACUUGAGCAGCGGGCACACACUCCGGUUAAAAGGAUAAGCACGAAAAAAACACGGUCCUGACAAGAACAAGAAGAAGGGUAGAAGAGAGCAACAUCACAAAUGCCUCCAGAAGAAAAGAGAGAAUGGAAUGGAAUGAACGAAAGGAGAAAACAAUAUCUUCUACCUUACAUGAGCUUGCAAAAGCAUCUUGAAGAGACAGGUCGAAUGGAAUUGUUGGAAAACCAACAAUGAAAAAGGAUAAGCUUGAUAUGGUCUUAUGGAAUACAUCUCAAAUUAUGAGGUGACAACCUGCCACUCACGGGAAGAAGAAUUGAAUUGAUAUGGACAAGGAGACGAGAAAGUUAUUUCACCGGGAGGAUAGAUGAAGCACUAUGAUCAUAUACUAUCACCAUUAAUAGCAACAAUCCUUAGGGAAAGCUUUAGGUGAAAUAUAAUCCUAGAUGAUUCCAAUGGCGAGAUUGAUAGAUUUAAAAAUAUCUCAUUCUUAACAACAUGUGUAUCAUGGAACAUGAACUCAAAUUAUCAAGAAUGACAUAAUACCACCUCCAAUGAUACGGAAGAAAGAAUUGCACUCCGGAUUGCAAGAUGAAGAAACUUAAGCUCCUUAGAAAAGAAUCUCGAUGAACACUUCGAGAAGGAAUUAAAUCCUUGAUGAACCAUCAUGUAGAACCUUCAUGAAAAACUCCGGUAACAAAAGGAUAACGAGAAAAAAAAGAAGUUGAAAAACACAAGGUGAAUCCUUGCGAUGAUUUAAAUGGAGCUUCGCGACAAGACAAAGUGGAAACUUGGUACCCCGGAAAAGAAAGAUGAGCAAAAGAAACCAAGAAUUUUUCAAAGAACCUCUGGAAUAAGGAAUUGAACCACUUGGAAGAAACAAGAAUAAUAAUUACAUUAUGCUUAUCCUUCACCAAUUCAAAUUGAUGACAAGCAAUGGAAUUGGCAUACUACUUAUUCUCGUGGAGAGGAUUAAAGAGAGGCAUAACUUAAGCUUGAGAAGGUCUUCAACGAUCCACCGGUAGAAUUUGGAAAACCCGAAUGCACUUAUAUGAUAAACGAAGGAAGAAGAAACUUGGAAGAACCACCGUAAGAAUUGAACAUGAAAAUAGCAAGAGCACAAAUUCACCGGGAAGAAUUGGAAAACGAAAGAAGAUACUUGAAGGAAUUUAGAUACGAGAAAACGAAUAGAUCACGAGCUGAUUAGAGGAUAUUUGAGCGAUGCACCAGUAAGAUUGGAGAAUGAUAACUGAAAGCUGAGAAUGAAUAAACCUGAAAUGAUGGACUCCGGAUAAUCAAACUGAGAAGACUCUUGAAUAGCUCCGGAUGGGUGAAAAGAAUUCUCACAACAAUAAAAAAACAAUUAUGAGAGGAUGGCCGAGAAUGGGGCAAGAUUUAAAAGAAACUCUUCUUCGGUCUUCAAAUGUUGAUUAUGACGAUGAGAAGCGCCACCAAGAAUUGUUGAGGCACUCCAGAAGAAUCAAAAGCAAAGAGAUUGAGCCAACAAUGAGAAGAAUUUGACAGAUCUUGGAGAAAUACAUUUGACUGAUGAUAACUCAUUCUUACGUCAAACUUCGAAAAUAAUUUGAGAGUAACGCCGGGAAAAUAAGAAGAGUCAGGUAAGAUCCUGGGAAAAGAUCUGUGGGUUAGGGCCCACUCAAAAGAUACACCGUUGAACGAUUUAAAAGAGAGAAUGCACCGGUAAGAUUAAAUGACUAGAUGAGAUAACAACCUCGAAAUAGGUUGAACUGAUCUUGAAUGACAAGGCGAGCCUUUUGAGAUAGCUUGAGCACGCCGGAACAAUAAAUAGCGAGAAGUGGAAUGAUAAUAAAGUGCACCGGCAAGAGAAAGCAUUUGAACCGAGGAAAGGAUAUGAUCGACAAAGCUUGAAUUUGGUCCACCUGAGAAGAUAAAAGAACAAGGAAUGAUAAACUUGAGGCUCCGUUAGAAUCUUCCCGAGAAUCUCCGGGUAAGAGCAUUGACGGAAAAGGAAUGGAGAGUCUUCACAAGAAUAUAAAGGCUACUUGAUUAAGACAUCUGAUUUCUUGAAGAAAAGGGGUGGGUGGGCGGGAUAAACAAAGGCAACUUGGGCACGGAUGAAGCAAACACCGUUGAGAAGAACUGUAAUUGAAUCUUGUGGAUGUUGAAAAGAUCGGAUCCACUUGAAGAGAAACACACCGGUUGAAAAGGUUUGACAUGACAGACUCGAUGAUCGAGAAGGAUUAGUAUUCACAUCGGAGUAUGAGAACACCGCUUAGGAACAGGUAUGGAAUCAACAUUUGACUUCGAAGCAACUCGAAUACCACAGCUCAGAACAAAACAAAGGAUUGGCUUGCAGAAUAAGCUGGAACAAACAUAUGAUAGAGAUUUUGUCCAAAGUUUUCGUGGUGGGGCCUACACGGGCUCGAUCGUACAACACCAUCAUGUACAAGGCAGUGCACAUGACAUACGAAGCGUCCCCGAGUCGGCAUAGCCAAGGACUCUUUAAGACACAAUGAGACCACUGUAAAACCAACCGUGGAUAGGCGGAACACUAGACGUCGAACCCCAAUUUCAUAUCAUACAUCUGUCGGAAAGAUAUCCUAAGAGCUACUUGUAUUCCCACUUAUAAACUCCCGAAAUUUUCCGGUUAUGCAAUCAGGUGUUGGGGAUACAGGGGAAGCAUAAUAUCUCACCCAAAACUAGCAAAUCCUACAUCCAGCUGUAUCCAUCCUUCAACACAUAACCAAGAAACCUUCGGGAAUCAUUUACCUCAACCUUCGAAAAGCAUCCGUUAUACGAGUUAUGGCAAUACUCCCGAACUCCCGCCCCAGUACUGGGUGGCAUCGAGGUUAUCUCACCAACAACUGCAUAAAAGAGAUUUUCGAUGUCGGCGAAACUAAUCUCAGGUAUUCCAGAACUGCAAUGAUAAAAUUGUGACGACAACACCUCGGAGCUCAACUCCCCGGGACACUGCCACAACCCCUAAAUGACAGGAAGCACCAAGAACAAUGUUCUCGUCACAAAACCAUCAGAACGAUUCCAAGAUACCCGCAUGAUCCUAAAUUUUUUUAGUGAAAUUUGAGAAGAGAAGAGUCAAAACUCUACAUCAAUAUGCCUCACCAGAGCGAUGAAGGGACUGGGGAGUAAAAAGAAUUCCUAAACUCUCCGAUAUAUAAUUCCUAAAUGACUCAAAACAUUUUUCUAGACUCAACAACGGUUGCUAAUAACGAUCAAGCAGUGGGGGCUCCUAAGGUCGGGGAAGGCUCUGAUACCAACUUGUAACGCCCUCGAUGCGGCUAUAUCUCCCACGUGUCGAAGCACAACUUAGAGGCAUAACCGCAAUGAAAGCAAUGUCACAAGUGAGGUAAUCUUCACACAACCCAUGUAAUACAUAAGGGAAAGAGAUACAUAGUUGGCUUACAAUCGCCACUUCACACAAUUACAUGAAUAAAGCAUUACAUCAUCCAAAUACAAUCAAGGUUCGACUACGAAACCAAAAUAAAAGAAGACUACCACAAAUGCUACACAGAUCCCAAUCGACCCGACUGGGCUCCACUACUGAUCAACUAGAACGAAACAACACAAAGGACAAGAUCUUCAUCGAGCUCCUCCUUGAGCUUGGUUGUGUCACCUACUCGGUUCAACGACACCUGCAAACUGGUUUUGGAAGUAUAUGUGAGUCACGGGGACUAAUCAAACUCACACCCUCGUGAUCAAGACUAUUUAAGCUUAUAGGAAAGGCAAAGGUAUGAUGUGGAGCUGCAGCAAGCGACUAGCAUAUAUGGUGGCUAACAUAUUCGCAAAAGAGAGCGAGAAGAGAAGGCAAAAGCACGGUCGAACAACUAUGAUCAAGAAGUGAUCCUAGAACAACCUACGUCAAACAUAACUCCAACACCGUGUUCACUUCCCGGACUCCGCCGGAAAGAGACCAUCACGGUUACACACGCGGUUGAUUCAUUUUAAUUAAGGUCAACUUCAGGUUCUCUACAACCAGACGUUAACAAAUUCCCAUCUGCCUAUAACCGCGGGCACGGCUUUCAAAAGUUCAAAUCCCUGCAGGGGAGUCCCAACUUAGCCCAUGACAAGCUCUCACGGUCAACGAAGGAUGUACCUUCUCCCGAGACAUUCCGAUCAGACUCGGUAUCCCGGUUCUACAAGACAAUUUCGACAAGCUAAAACAAAUCCAGCAACACCGCUCGAAUGUGCCGACAAAUCCCGAUAGGAGCUGCACAUAUCUCGUUCUCAGGGCACACUCAGAUGAGCAAUCCGUACAACUAAAACCAAACCUCGAGUUUCCCCGAGGGGGCGCUGCACAGGGCUCUAGUUUGGACCAACACUCAGAGGAGCACUGGCCCGGGGGGGGGGGGGGUUAAAAUAAUGAUGACCCUUGAGUCUGCAGAACCCAAGGGAAAGAAAAGGCUAGGUGGCGAAUGGUAAAACCAAUGUUGGGCAUUGCUGGAGGAGUUUUAUUCAAGGCGAACUGUCAAGGGGUUCCCAUUAUUACACAACCGCGUAAGGAACGCAAAAUCCGGGAACAUAACACCGAUAUGAUGGAAACUAGGGCGGCAAGAGUGGAACAAAACACCAGGCAUGAGGUCGAGCCUUCCACCCUUUACCAAGUAUAUAGAUGCAUUAAUUAAAUAAGAGAUAUUGUGAUAUCCCAACAAGUAAACAUGUCCCAACAAGGAACAACAUCUCCAUGUCCCAACAAGUAACAAACUUCAAUCUUCACCUGCAACUAACAACGCUAUAAGAAGGGCUGAGCAAAGUGGUAACAUAGCCAAACAACGGUUUGCUAGGACAAGGUGGGUUAGAGGCUUGGUUUAACAAUAUGGGAGGCAUGAUAAGCAAGUGGUAGGUAUCGUAGCAUAGGCAUAGCAAAAGAGCGAGCAACUAGAAAGCAAAGAUAGAAGUGAUUUCGAGGGUAUGGUCAUCUUGCCUGAAAUCCCGCAAGGAAGAAGAACGAGUCCAUGAAGAAGACAAACGGACGUAGUCGAACAGGUCCUCACAACACGAGGUUAUCGGAACCAACCCGAAGAAGCAACACCGGAAAGAAGCACACAAAAAUAGUAAACAACCAUCACAUAAUCAUGGCAUGAUGCACAACCAAGUAUGAUGCAUGUCCGGUUUAAAGAGGCAUGGCAUGGCAUAAUGCACAAACAAUCCUACAAAUUAAGUGGAGCUCAAUAUGCAACGAGUUGCAUAUUGACGAAACACCACGACAAGUUAUUUAGUUCGAUCUCGUUUAUGUACCGAACAAUAUUAAUUGUUGUUAAACAUGGCCAGAGGGUGAAGCAAAGUAAAACUACCUAUCUAGUCAAGGUUAAAUGAGGCCGAAAGCAACGAACAACAAUUCCGGUAAAUCCCCAUAUGCAUAUUUAGGUUUGGUACUGUUCUGCCCUAAACCAUAUUUUAGGGUUGUUAAACAUGCAAAGUAAGGUCACCAUGUUAAACUAGGCAAGAUUCUACCCCAUUUACAUAUAAAGUUUGUUACAAACCGAGUUACGGUUAUUUAGUUAUGAAUUAAAGCAUGUUAGCAUGUUAUUUAAGCAAAUUAAAACAAACAACAUUUUAAACAUGCAAGAAAAUUGGAUAUUAUUAAUCUACACAAAAUUCUAAGCAAGUUUCAUUUAUUAAGUUUUUACAUAUGAUGCAUAGAUCAUGAGUUAUAAUAUGCAUGAAGACUAGGGACUAAACUGUAAACUGGCAGUCUCUUGGAUAAAUAGGAAAAAUCGCUAUGCGAAAAAAAUACAAGUCCCGGGCCGAAUCUUAGGCGGCCCAACAGUGCAGGGGAGCUCGGGCUGCUCACAUUGGGCUUUUGAGGCUGGCUGGGUGAGGAGGCACUGGGCCUACUGCGCGCUUGUGGCCCAAGAACACAGGAGGCCGACUUGGGGCGUCACGGUCAACGCUCGACGGCGUGCGGGCUGCCGCAGUCACCUCGUCCCUGCUCACGUGAAGCAGAGGCGCGGUGAGGCAACUUGAGCGGCUGGAGUCCGGAAGCGGCAGCGCAACGGCGGGAUCCGGUGGAAGAGACGAGUGGAUCCGGACGCAUGGAGGCGUUCUCCAGCGGGGUGGCGCGACCGACGGAGCUGAAGGAGGCGCCACACGUCCUCUAUUCAAAAGAGAGCUUCAGAGCCAUGGCGCGGCGCAGGUCCACAUAGUGGUGGCGCGAGGCAGGCUUGCCGGUCGCCGGAGUGUCCAGACGAGGAGCAGAGGCGCGACGUCCCGUCCCGCUCGAAGCAGGGGUAGCAGGGGCGGCGACAGGGGAUGGCAAGGCAGGGGACGCGUUUGGUGAUGCACUGACUUGGCGCGGACGAAGGCACGGCUCCGGGCGGUGCAGGUAGCAGACGAGGCAGAUCCGACUGGCCGGCGCCGGAUCCGGGCAACGGCGGCGCGGUGGAGCUCAGGGGCGGCGUUGGGGAUGAGAUCGAGGCCGGGCAUGGCAUCGGGCGCCGUGCUCCUUGUUCCCUGCAGGCACACGACGACGGGAGAGCAAGGUGAGCACGGGAAGAAGAAGAAAGGAAGAGAAAGGGCAUGGGCGCGAGGGAGGAGGAAGGGCCUCGAUCCAAUCGGGAUUUGGGCUCAGGCUGCCUGCGGGUUCGUCCGGUGUUGACAACGAGCUGGAGCGGUGAUUUGGUUC
This 8686-nucleotide long non-coding RNA is filed under the name Triticum aestivum (bread wheat). Its description in RNAcentral is "long non-coding RNA (TAES_LNC020250)". The record is from RNAcentral. Lineage: Eukaryota; Viridiplantae; Streptophyta; Magnoliopsida; Poales; Poaceae.